GCAAGUCGAGCGGUAAGCUAACUUCGGUUAGCCUAGAGCGGCGGACGGGUGAGUAACGCGUGGGAAUUUACCCAAUGGUACGGAAUAACUCAGGGAAACCGGAGAUAAUACCGUAUAAGCCCUUCGGGGGAAAGAUUUAUCGCCAUUGGAUGAGCCCGCGUCGGAUUAGCUUGUUGGUGAGGUAAAAGCUCACCAAGGCGACGAUCCGUAGCUGGUCUGAGAGGAUGAUC
Molecule: ribosomal RNA, 230 nt
Filed under: uncultured bacterium
Lineage: Bacteria
Description: partial 16S ribosomal RNA
Rfam family: Bacterial small subunit ribosomal RNA
Source: RNAcentral